This 459-nucleotide ribosomal RNA is filed under the name uncultured bacterium. Its description in RNAcentral is "partial 16S ribosomal RNA". It matches the Rfam family "Bacterial small subunit ribosomal RNA", at positions 338 to 795 of the family's 1533-position model. The record is from RNAcentral.
CCUACGGGUGGCAGCAGUGAGGAAUAUUGGUCAAUGGACGAGAGUCUGAACCAGCCAAGUAGCGUGAAGGAUGACUGCCCUAUGGGUUGUAAACUUCUUUUAUAAAGGAAUAAAACGAGGCACGUGUGCCUUUUUGCAUGUACUUUAUGAAUAAGGAUCGGCUAACUCCGUGCCAGCAGCCGCGGUAAUACGGAGGAUCCGAGCGUUAUCCGGAUUUAUUGGGUUUAGAGGGAGCGUAGAUGGGUUGUUAAGUCAGUUGUGAAAGUUUGCGGCUCAACCCGGGCCGGCCGUUGAAACUGGGGAUCUUGAGUGGGCGAGAAGUAUGCGGAAUGCGUGGUGUAGCGGUGAAAUGCAUAGAUAUCACGCAGAACUCCGAUUGCGAAGGCAGCAUACCGGCGCCCGACUGACGCUGAGGCACGAAAGCGUGGGGAUCGAACAGGAUUAGAUACCCGAGUAGUC